RNAcentral lists this small RNA (28 nucleotides) under Bombyx mori (domestic silkworm). Its description in RNAcentral is "ovarian small RNA-27629". The record is from RNAcentral. Lineage: Eukaryota; Metazoa; Arthropoda; Insecta; Lepidoptera; Bombycidae.
UCCGUGCUGAGAUUGGCUUGCAAGGGCC